ACUGCCAUUGAUACUGAUAGCCUUGAGUUUGGUUAAGGUAGGCGGAAUGUGUAAUGUAGCGGUGAAAUGCUUAGAUAUUACACAGAACACCAAUUGCGUAGGCAGCUUACUGAGCCGACACUGACGCUGAGGCACGAAAGCGUGGGGAUCGAACAGGAUUAGAUACCCUGGUAGUCCACGCCGUAAACGAUGAUUACUCGCUGUUGGCGAUACACUGUCAGCGGCUAAGCAAAAGCAAUAAGUAAUCCACCUGGGGAGUACGGCCGCAAGGUUGAAACUCAAAGGAAAUUGACGGGGGCCCGCACAAGCGGAGGAACAUGUGGUUUAAUUCGAUGAUACGCGAGGAACCUUACCUGGGCUUAAAUGUAGAGUGCAUGAGGUAGAAAUACUUCUUCCCUUCGGGGCUCUUUGCAAGGUGCUGCAUGGUUGUCGUCAGCUCGUGCCGUGAGGUGUCGGGUUAAGUCCCCGCAACGAGCGCAACCCUUGCCGAUAGUUACUAACAGGUAAAGCCGAGGACUCUAUUGGGACUGCCGGGGACACUCGGAGGAAGGUGGGGACGACGUCAAAUCAUCAUGCCCCCUUAUGACUGGGCCUUCACACGUGCUUACAAUUGACGAAAACAAAGAGGGAGCCGUAUCUGCUAGAUGAACAGAAUCUCAAAACUCGGUUCUGAGUUCGACUUGGUGGGGCUGCAACCGC
RNAcentral lists this ribosomal RNA (699 nucleotides) under uncultured bacterium. RNAcentral's name for it is "bacterial SSU rRNA". It matches the Rfam family "Bacterial small subunit ribosomal RNA", at positions 620 to 1315 of the family's 1533-position model. The record is from RNAcentral.